UACAAAACAUAAUAAGCACACAGUAAUA
RNAcentral lists this small RNA (28 nucleotides) under Bombyx mori (domestic silkworm). RNAcentral describes it as "ovarian small RNA-19975". Lineage: Eukaryota; Metazoa; Arthropoda; Insecta; Lepidoptera; Bombycidae. The record is from RNAcentral.